UGGUGGUUCGCCGCGGCUGGCGGCGAUUUCUACCUCCCUCCCAUUCCCGAUUUCCCAUGAGCGUGCCCUCCCCUCUCGUUCUCUGUUGGCGAGCAGACGAGCCUCUCUCCCCUGCUGACGGCGGCCGAGCCUGCAGGGGCCUUCCGCAGCUGCACGACCACGGGAUCUGAUCCGAUGACCGUGCGCGCGUUGGGAAGUCCGUGCUCGCGGCGAGAUUACGACCUUCGGACAAGGACAACCCCGCCCGACAGCUUCGUCCUUCACUCCUCAGCGAGUGCCCUAGCUGCACUUUGCAUCCCAAGAAGACCUGGUUUGCUUCAUCCAAGAUCUUGUCACCGUGCUCGAUCAGUUUGUUGGAGUACCAUGAGAGGAAAAACUUCCCCUUCUCGGUAAGGUAUGUUCCGUUGUCCUUGAAGAACUGGGUCUCCUCAGGAGUGUCAUUGUACUGUCCAGCAUCGUCAGGCAAUCCCCACUCAGGAUGGCCAGCCUUCACUGCUGCUGCUUUGAAGUCUUCUUCUAGAUCAUCACUUGGACAAAGAUUGAAUUGCCUUUGGUCAUAUGUAUAAGAACAUUUUGAAGAAAAGAAGAGGAUAGCUUUUGUUUGGUAAAAGGCACUUACGAUGAAUUCUCCGAUCCCUGGGAACACCCAUCCCUGGCUCUGAGGAUAGGAUGGGUACCUCAUCUCUCCAGCUGGACCGAGUCCCACCUCAAUGUCCACGAUGACACCAGCAUCCAGGAACUGUUCCAUAUUCUCCCUGAAGCUCUUCAUGUAAUCAGCAUACAUCUGUCACAGCCACAAGGAAGAAUCAAAGCUUGCCACCAUGGCCAUACAGUACCAAACAAAAUCACAACUCUGCCGUUGCCAAGACUCAUCUGAGCAUCUGAUCGAUCACCACAUAUGCAGCAGAGCGUGAAGUGGUGGUUUAGCUGUGCUAACCUGGACGGCAGUUCUUCCAUGGAAGAGAGGCUGGUCAUCCACUCCAAGGGUGAGGUACUCAAUGUUCCUUGUCCCGCUCCGGUUGGUGUAGAAAAUGUCUGGAUCGCUCUUGCCGAUGUCCCGCACCCACUGCGGGAUGGGGAUGUUGACGACGUCGCCGACGUUGCCGCCGCACUGGUGGAACGACAUGAUGGCCUGCAGCUUCAGCCCGGCCUCCUGCACCAGCUCGAACACCUGCUUGUAGGCGCUCCAGUCGUACUCCUUGGGGACCUUGCCCUCCACCAGCCCCCACCAGACGUCUAUCAUCACGCCGUCGACGCCGGCCUCCGCCAGCUUCUUCAGCUGCGCCCUGAUCUCCUCGCCCUUCUCGAAUGUGUUGUCGAUGCUCACCACAUCCAGCUAUUUCCGUGGCCAAAGUGAAAUCAAUGUUAGUAAAAAAUCCAUCUAAGGUCUAAGCUCUUGUUUCACAUGACUUCACUCUUCAACUGUUGUGUUAAUGUGUUAUACAUAUGGCUAAAUAUACCUACGAUAGUGUGAAUUAGAUCCUUGAAAUGUGUAUGGUGCUUAGCGAGGUAAAUGAGCUUACAGGAAGCAUGACGUUGACUUGGACGUAGUUGGCUAGCAUGUUCCCACCCAUUGUGGCUGCUGGCUAAAAUGUAUGCUCUACAGACACUGGCUUGCGUGCUCACUCUCGCUGAACUUGGUUUGCUGGAUGUUGCAGGGAGCU
This is a long non-coding RNA of Lolium rigidum, 1664 nucleotides long. RefSeq lists it as uncharacterized. The record is from RefSeq and is a predicted model, not a curated record. The transcript has 3 exons. Lineage: Eukaryota; Viridiplantae; Streptophyta; Magnoliopsida; Poales; Poaceae.